This 274-nucleotide ribosomal RNA is filed under the name uncultured bacterium. Its description in RNAcentral is "partial 16S ribosomal RNA". It matches the Rfam family "Bacterial small subunit ribosomal RNA", at positions 523 to 796 of the family's 1533-position model. The record is from RNAcentral.
AUACGGAGGGGGCUAGCGUUGUUCGGAAUUACUGGGCGUAAAGCGUACGUAGGCGGACUGAUCAGUUGGGGGUGAAAUCCCAGGGCUUAACCCUGGAACUGCCUUCAAUACUGUCAGUCUUGAGUCCGGAAGAGGUGAGUGGAAUUCCUGGUGUAGAGGUGAAAUUCAUAGAUAUCAGGAGGAAAACCAGUGGCGAAGGCGGCUCACUGGUCCGGUACUGACGCUGAGGUACGAAAGCGUGGGGAGCAAACAGGAUUAGAAACCCCAGUAGUCC